GAUGAACGCUGGCGGCGUGCUUAACACAUGCAAGUCGAACGGUGAAGGCGGAGCUUGCUCUGCUGGAUCAGUGGCGAACGGGUGAGUAACACGUGAGCAAUCUGCCCCUGACUCUGGGAUAAGCGCUGGAAACGGCGUCUAAUACUGGAUACGAGCUGCGAAGGCAUCUUCAGCAGCUGGAAAGAAUUUCGGUCAGGGAUGAGCUCGCGGCCUAUCAGCUUGUUGGUGAGGUAAUGGCUCACCAAGGCGUCGACGGGUAGCCGGCCUGAGAGGGUGACCGGCCACACUGGGACUGAGACACGGCCCAGACUCCUACGGGAGGCAGCAGUGGGGAAUAUUGCACAAUGGGCGAAAGCCUGAUGCAGCAACGCCGCGUGAGGGACGACGGCCUUCGGGUUGUAAACCUCUUUUAGCAGGGAAGAAGCGAAAGUGACGGUACCUGCAGAAAAAGCGCCGGUUAACUACGUG
This 468-nucleotide ribosomal RNA is filed under the name uncultured bacterium. RNAcentral describes it as "partial 16S ribosomal RNA". It matches the Rfam family "Bacterial small subunit ribosomal RNA", at positions 28 to 507 of the family's 1533-position model. The record is from RNAcentral.